UAUACGCGUGUGUGAAGAAGCUGAGGUGAAAGCACUUUCAAUAGGAAGGAAUACCUAUCGGCUAAUACCCGGUAACUGACAUUACCUAUACAAGAAGCACCGGCUAACUCCGUGCCAGCAGCCGCGGUAAUACGGAGGGUGCAAGCGUUAAUCGGAAUUACUGGGCGUAAAGCGUGCGUAGCGGUUAUUUAAGUCAGAUUGAAACCCCGGGCUUAACCUGGGAACUGCAUUUGAUACUGGGUAACUAGAGUUUAGUAGAGGGGAGUGGAAUUUCAGGUGUAGCGGUGAAAUGCGUAGAGAUCUGAAGGAACACCAGUGGCGAAGGCGGCUCCCUGGACUAAAACUGACGCUGAGGUACGAAAGCGUGGGUAGCAAACAGGAUUAGAUACCCUGGUAGUCCACGCCGUAAACGAUGUCAACUAACUGUUGGGUCCUUUAAGAACUUAGUAGUGGAGCUAACGUAUUAAGUUGACCGCCUGGGGAGUACGGCCGCAAGGCUAAAACUCAAAUGAAUUGACGGGGGCCCGCACAAGCGGUGGAGCAUGUGGUUUAAUUCGAUGCAACGCGAAGAACCUUACCUACCCUUGACAUCCUCGGAACUUGUCAGAGAUGACUUGGUGCCUUCGGGAACCGAGAGACCGGUGCUGCAUGGUUGUCGUCAGCUCGGGUCGGGGAUGCGGGUAAGUCCCGUAACGAGGG
RNAcentral lists this ribosomal RNA (699 nucleotides) under uncultured bacterium. RNAcentral describes it as "bacterial SSU rRNA". It matches the Rfam family "Bacterial small subunit ribosomal RNA", at positions 394 to 1098 of the family's 1533-position model. The record is from RNAcentral.